CUGGUUGUUGGGUUGCUGCCCUCCAAAUGGUAAUUUUUAAAGAAAUUUUGCCGUUUUUGGUUAUCUUGAAUACUAUUAUAGAUAGCGAUAAACUGUAAACAGCAAUAAUGUUCAGCAAAGUAAGAUCUACAAAUAAGUCAACAUGACCUUAAUGGUCAAUUGACCCCUUAAGGAGUUAUUGCCCUUUAUAGUCAAUUUUUAACAAUUUUCAUUAAUUUGGUAAAUUUAUGUAAAUUUUUACCAAAUAUAGUUCUCUGUUACUAAUGGGCAAAGUUCAUUAUAGAUAAUAUUGUAAGAAGCAAAAUCGUUCAGAAAGUAAGAACUUCAAACACAUCACCAUCACCAAAAUACAAUUUUGUCAUGAAUCCAUUUGUGUCCUUUGUUUAAUAUGCUCAUAGACCAAGGUGAGCGACACAGGCUCUUUAGAGCCUCUAGUUGUUAC
This 442-nucleotide long non-coding RNA is filed under the name Mytilus galloprovincialis (Mediterranean mussel). Lineage: Eukaryota; Metazoa; Mollusca; Bivalvia; Mytilida; Mytilidae. The record is from RNAcentral.